Molecule: long non-coding RNA, 1312 nt
Organism: Apis mellifera (honey bee)
Lineage: Eukaryota; Metazoa; Arthropoda; Insecta; Hymenoptera; Apidae
Exons: 4
Source: RefSeq, a predicted model, not a curated record
AUCGUGGAUAAAUAUUUUUAACGUAUGAUGCUAUAAUUCGUUUAAUUCGAGUUCUGUGUAGAAAUAUUAUUUCCACACGCGAGUGAACGCAUACAUCGUUGACAAAAGGUGACAAAGAUUAAUACGAGGCAUGAUUAAAUGAAACCUCGUACAUUGUUCCAACGCGAGUGUAUUAUCCGUUCUUCGAGAAUAAAUUUUCUUUUCCCUUGAUAAGGACACGCGGUUCGUAAUAUCCGUAAAUACGGAUUCGAACGAAUAUGCGAAUUAAAUCCGCAGUGAAAGAAAUAAAACCGUGGAAAUCCUGUUAAAGUGGAAAUUGGUCAGCUAUUGUAUUGCAACUUCAAGGAUCGUACGAGACGAUUUGUUUAUUUAUUGCUUUAUCGAUUUCGAUUUCGAAAAGUUCCCUAGACUCGAAGAAAUGUUUAGGGGAGGAUAAAUAAUUCCCUAGAAUAAUCGAAACGUUCCUAAUUCAUUCUCCUUCAGGGGUAUCGAAUAUUUUCAACUUGAUUUAGUCUACAAAAAAAUUGUGGAAGAGAAUUGCAACGAAGCUUCGAGCUUCUAAGGAAGAAUGGAAUUCGAAUAAUGGAGAAAAAGGGCAAAGACUCCAAGAGGAGGGGAGGAAAUUUUAAUGAUGUAAAAGGAUGAGAAAAAUACCAGGAAGAAAGAAUUGCAUGGAUUAAGUAGUAGCGAAGAGUUAAUCCAGUUAAUGAAAAAGAAAAGUGUAGGAAGGAUCGAUCGAAAGAUGUUGCAUCGUCAAAACAGAGUAACAAGAAGGAGGAACAAAAAAACUAGUUGCGAAAGAGAAAAGAAAUAAACAUUGUUAUCCUCCGACGGAGAAAAAAAGAACAAUUCAAUGAUUCAACGGGAGAUGAACGAGAAAAACAUUCGUAACAAUAACAAAGUAGAAUAAAAUAUCAAAAAAAUCAUGAAACGAGACAUUGAAAGAGAAUUGUGACAAUGAAACAAAAAUGGAAAUGAGAAGUAGCAAGAUGUAGAGGGACAUGAAGAGAGCGUUGCUGAUAUGAAAAUAUGAAAAAUUCAAUAUAGAAAACAUGGGAAGAAUAAAAUAAAAUGAGCAUUGGAAGAAGAGGAGGAAGAGAAAAGGGAGACGUAAGAAGUGAUUGCGAUAAAAAACGGAAUAAAACAAUGCGAUGAAAAGGGCCUCCACGAAUUUGUAUGUACUAGGAAAAGAGGAACCCGUUUAAAUUCUAAGGGUGAAGCUCGGCAAACGAGGGGCGGAAGAAACUGGGGCGCUAUGAAUUUCAAGGCGAUGAAAAAUGAAUGAUCCCCCUCCUUGCGGGGGAGGUUUUGG